GCACCGCUGAUGUAGUCGGAAGCAUACCAGCCUUCCAAGCUGGGCGGGCGAGUUCAAGUCUCGUGCGGUGCUCCA
Molecule: transfer RNA, 75 nt
Filed under: Caudoviricetes sp.
Lineage: Duplodnaviria; Heunggongvirae; Uroviricota; Caudoviricetes
Description: tRNA-Gly
Rfam family: tRNA
About the family: Transfer RNA (tRNA) molecules are approximately 80 nucleotides in length. Their secondary structure includes four short double-helical elements and three loops (D, anti-codon, and T loops).
Source: RNAcentral